GGGUGAGUAAUGCUUGGGAAUCUACCUAGUAGUGGGGGAUAACGUGUGGAAACGCACGCUAAUACCGCAUACGUCCUACGGGACAAAGCAGGGGACCUUCGGGCCUUGCGCUAUUGGAUGAGCCUAUGUCGGAUUAGCUUGUUGGUGGGGUAAAAGCCUACCAAGGCAACGAUCCGUAGCUGGUCUGAGAGGAUGAUCAGCCACACUGGGACUGAGACACGGCCCAGACUCC
This 232-nucleotide ribosomal RNA is filed under the name uncultured bacterium. RNAcentral describes it as "partial 16S ribosomal RNA". It matches the Rfam family "Bacterial small subunit ribosomal RNA", at positions 104 to 339 of the family's 1533-position model. The record is from RNAcentral.